Molecule: ribosomal RNA, 301 nt
Filed under: uncultured bacterium
Lineage: Bacteria
Description: partial 16S ribosomal RNA
Rfam family: Bacterial small subunit ribosomal RNA
Source: RNAcentral
CAGUCGCCACGGUAAUACGAAGGGGGCUAGCGUUGUUCGGAUUUACUGGGCGUAAAGCGCACGUAGGCGGACUUUUAAGUCAGGGGUGAAAUCCCGGGGCUCAACCCCGGAACUGCCUUUGAUACUGGAAGUCUUGAGUAUGGUAGAGGUGAGUGGAAUUCCGAGUGUAGAGGUGAAAUUCGUAGAUAUUCGGAGGAACACCAGUGGCGAAGGCGGCUCACUGGACCAUUACUGACGCUGAGGUGCGAAAGCGUGGGGAGCAAACAGGAUUAGAUACCCCCGUAGUCCCUGUCUCUUAUAA